UAAAGGUUUGGUUCUAGCCUUUUUAUUAGUUCUUAAUAAAAUUAUACAUGCAAGUAUCCACCCCCCAGUGAAAAUGCCCUUAAACUUACUUAUAAUUAAGAGGAGCAGGUAUCAAGCACACUUAAUGUAGCUCACAACACCUUGCUAAGCCACACCCUCACGGGACACAGCAGUAAUAAAAAUUAAGCAAUUAACGGAAGUUUGACUUAGUUAUAUUAUUUAAAGUCGGUCAACUUCGUGCCAGCCACCGCGGUCAUACGAAGGACUUGAACUAAUAAAUACCGGCGUAAAGCGUGAUUAAGAUCUUUAAGCAAUAAAACAAAAACUAUUCUAUGCCGUAAAAAGCCAGAGAAUACUUAUAAUAAAUAACGAAGGUAAUUUUAUAACUUCUGAACCCACGAUAGCUAAGAAACAAACUGGGAUUAGAUACCCCACUAUGCUUAGCCUUAAACCUAGAUAGUCUACAACAAGACAUAUCCGCCAGAGAACUACUAGCAAAGCUAAAAACUUAAAGAACUUGGCGGUGCUUCACACCCACCUAGAGGAGCCUGUUAUGUAAUUGAUACACCCCACUAAACCCUACCACCACUUGCUAAGUCAGUCUAUAUACCGCCAUCCUCAGCAAACCCCAAAAGGCAUAUCAGUAAGCAUAAUGAUAAGACAUAAAAACGUUAGGUCAAGGUGUAACCCAUGUGGUGGAACCUAAUGGGCUACAUUUUCUAGCAUUAGAAAACCCUCAACGAAAGUACUAAUGAAAUUUCAGUACUAAAGGAGGAUUUAGUAGUAAACUGAGAAUAGAGUGCUCAGUUGAAACUGGCCAUGAAGCGCGCACACACCGCCCGUCACCCUCCUUAAUUUACAUAUUAUAAGUAACCUCCAUAAACAGCUACUUAUACACCCCAUAAAGGAGACAAGUCGUAACAAGGUAAGCAUACUGGAAAGUGUGCUUGGAAAACCUC
Molecule: non-coding RNA, 959 nt
Filed under: Echinops telfairi (small Madagascar hedgehog)
Lineage: Eukaryota; Metazoa; Chordata; Mammalia; Afrosoricida; Tenrecidae
Description: partial 12S ribosomal RNA
Rfam family: Bacterial small subunit ribosomal RNA
Source: RNAcentral